Molecule: ribosomal RNA, 242 nt
Filed under: uncultured bacterium
Lineage: Bacteria
Description: partial 16S ribosomal RNA
Rfam family: Bacterial small subunit ribosomal RNA
Source: RNAcentral
UGGGUAACCUGCCUCAAAGAGGGGAAUAGCCUCCCGAAAGGGAGAUUAAUACCGCAUAAUAUGUUUAGGUCGCAUGACUUUAACAUCAAAGGAUUUUCUUUUAGAAAUUCCACUUUGAGAUGGACCCGCGGCGCAUUAGCUAGUUGGUGAGGUAACGGCUCACCAAGGCAACGAUGCGUAGCCGACCUGAGAGGGUGAUCGGCCACAUUGGGACUGAGACACGGUCCAGACUCCGUAGGAGG